AUGGGAGAUGCCAUGGGUGGUGCCAUGGGUGGUGCCAUGGGUGGUUACAUGAACAUGAUUGGAGGUUCCAUGAGUGGUGCAUUUGGCGGAAACAUAGGAGGUGGCUUCGGUGGCAACAUGGAAGGUGGCUUUGGCGGCAUGGGAGGUGGCUUUGGCGGCAUGGGAGGUGCUUUUGGUGGCAACAUGAUGGGUGGCUUGGAAGGUGGCUAUGGCGGCAACAUGAGUGGCGUUGGAGGUGGAUAUGGCGGCAACAUGGGACGAAAUGAAGAUGGUUCCGGUGGUGCUCACGGCAACGAGAGUUCACCGCUUAUUGAGAACGUCGACAAAGACCUUAUUUUAAGUUCAGAGAAUCCGCCUUCACCCUUCGGAGAAAACAUGGUGGUGGUGGAGAUGAUGAUCAUACCACGGUUCACAACAUCGGUGGAGUUGAUGACCCGAAUGAGUAAUAUUCAUGUGCAUUUGAAUUUCUAG
This 471-nucleotide ribosomal RNA is filed under the name Triticum aestivum (bread wheat). RNAcentral describes it as "partial small subunit ribosomal RNA". Lineage: Eukaryota; Viridiplantae; Streptophyta; Magnoliopsida; Poales; Poaceae. The record is from RNAcentral.